CGUGCAGACUAAGACUUUAAAGGUCUACGAUUUUUGGGUCAUGACACCUUGAUGUGAACGCCAGCAUCAAGCUCUGUCGAAGGCAGUUAAGUAAUCAGCAAACAGGUUUAUAGCUGUAGUGCUGCCUUCCCAACAAGCUCUUAAAUCAUUGUCGAGGCAAACAUUAC
Molecule: non-coding RNA, 167 nt
Organism: Tolypothrix bouteillei VB521301
Lineage: Bacteria; Bacillati; Cyanobacteriota; Cyanophyceae; Nostocales; Tolypothrichaceae
Source: Rfam